UAUCUGCUGAUAGAGGAAGCAACCACAGUGCAGAGGAUGGGAAGGAAUGCCGGCCCCAUUGCCAUGGCUGAUUCAUCACGGCACUCCUCGCAGGCAUGCGGAACCGCGAAAACAGCUCGCCCUGCCAGGGCAAUGGAGAGCAGGCCGGCCGAGGCAGGAAUGUGGGCUCCGUGUGGCCGGGGGAGGAGGAGCCCUGCAACGAUGCCACCACCCCUUCCUACAAGAAGCCUCUCUAUGGCAUUUCGCACAAGAUCAUGGA
RNAcentral lists this long non-coding RNA (259 nucleotides) under Marmota monax (woodchuck). Lineage: Eukaryota; Metazoa; Chordata; Mammalia; Rodentia; Sciuridae. The record is from RNAcentral.